RNAcentral lists this ribosomal RNA (1152 nucleotides) under Bacillus siamensis. RNAcentral's name for it is "bacterial SSU rRNA". It matches the Rfam family "Bacterial small subunit ribosomal RNA", at positions 78 to 1207 of the family's 1533-position model. The record is from RNAcentral. Lineage: Bacteria; Bacillati; Bacillota; Bacilli; Caryophanales; Bacillaceae.
GCUUGCUCCCUGAUGUUAGCGGCGGACGGGUGAUGUAACACGUGGGUAACCUGCCUGUAAGACUGGGAUAACUCCGGGAAACCGGGGCUAAUACCGGAUGGUUGUUUGAACCGCAUGGUUCAGACAUAAAAGGUGGCUUCGGCUACCACUUACAGAUGGACCCGCGGCGCAUUAGCUAGUUGGUGAGGUAACGGCUCACCAAGGCGACGAUGCGUAGCCGACCUGAGAGGGUGAUCGGCCACACUGGGACUGAGACACGGCCCAGACUCCUACGGGAGGCAGCAGUAGGGAAUCUUCCGCAAUGGACGAAAGUCUGACGGAGCAACGCCGCGUGAGUGAUGAAGGUUUUCGGAUCGUAAAGCUCUGUUGUUAGGGAAGAACAAGUGCCGUUCAAAUAGGGCGGCACCUUGACGGUACCUAACCAGAAAGCCACGGCUAACUACGUGCCAGCAGCCGCGGUAAUACGUAGGUGGCAAGCGUUGUCCGGAAUUAUUGGGCGUAAAGGGCUCGCAGGCGGUUUCUUAAGUCUGAUGUGAAAGCCCCCGGCUCAACCGGGGAGGGUCAUUGGAAACUGGGGAACUUGAGUGCAGAAGAGGAGAGUGGAAUUCCACGUGUAGCGGUGAAAUGCGUAGAGAUGUGGAGGAACACCAGUGGCGAAGGCGACUCUCUGGUCUGUAACUGACGCUGAGGAGCGAAAGCGUGGGGAGCGAACAGGAUUAGAUACCCUGGUAGUCCACGCCGUAAACGAUGAGUGCUAAGUGUUAGGGGGUUUCCGCCCCUUAGUGCUGCAGCUAACGCAUUAAGCACUCCGCCUGGGGAGUACGGUCGCAAGACUGAAACUCAAAGGGAAUUGACGGGGGCCCGCACAAGCGGUGGAGCAUGUGGUUUAAUUCGAAGCAACGCGAAGAACCUUACCAGGUCUUGACAUCCUCUGACAAUCCUAGAGAUAGGACGUCCCCUUCGGGGGCAGAGUGACAGGUGGUGCAUGGUUGUCGUCAGCUCGUGUCGUGAGAUGUUGGGUUAAAGUCCCCGCAACGAGCGCAACCCUUGAUCUUAGUUGCCAGCAUUUCAGUUGGGCACUCUAAAGGUGACUGCCCGGUGACAAACCGGGAGGAAGGUGGGGAUGACGUCAAAUCAUCAUGCCCCUUAUGA